Molecule: long non-coding RNA, 993 nt
Organism: Caretta caretta (loggerhead turtle)
Lineage: Eukaryota; Metazoa; Chordata; Testudines; Cheloniidae
Source: RefSeq, a predicted model, not a curated record
GUGGCUGAGUGAGGCAGCUAGGCUUGUGAGGGAAGUGAUAAGUUUCAGGCCCUGUAGGGGGAUGCAGACCUUUGAUAAUCCUAACCCUUUUCCUGUGCUUGCUGUGAGUCUUUGAGUGACCAGACUUCUGUUUGAGUAGCUUUACAUUAGGGGACCUAGGGCCAGCCCCCCCGGCCUGCCCGCCCUUGUUUGGAGACUGGUUUUUGGAAGAGGUGUUCGACCCUGGGAGAAAGGAUUAUUACACCCAGAUGGCAUCUGGUGAUUCCUGUAAAGGGCUGAAGGAGCUCACUUGAAGGAGGAGCUGCUGGAAACAGAGACUAGCUCAUCCCAGGGUUGACUUGUUUUAGGAUGGCCGGAGACCAGCCAAGAGAUUCGUCUCCCUACCCACAUCUAUCAUCGUGUUUUAAGAUCACCCAAAAUAAAAACCAACAAGGAAGUAUAGGAGUAAAACUCAGCUUGUGUCUGGAGCCUCCUAUCUCACAAUGCAGAUCGGGUCUGGAACUGACCAGGUGACUCAGGAGGGUGAGGAGUGGACCUCGGGCUACAAGUAGGCGGUAACUCUGCUUGAUGCUGGUGAUUCUUCUUCCUCCUCCCCUGCAUCGUCAUGUGUGCAAGUAAAAUCCAGAUGAGAGGGUGGCAGCUAGCAGUUCACCCUUGCUGGCAAGUGUGUUAAACCCUCCCACAACCCUAAGGUGCUGUGCUCUGGCUUACACACCUGAGUAGAACUGAUCCAGCACUCUGCCACUCAGAUGGGCAGCACCUUCCCUCUGACGUGCUGACCCUUAUAUGCCCUGCUGUUACUGGGCAGAUCACAUGUCACAUGGUUCCUCAGUUUCAGUAGAAAGGGCAGGAAACUAUACCUAAGGAGAGGGAAGAAAGGCAGCCAAGAUGGAUUCCUAGUUGUGUUGUCAGAAAUACAGAAAUUCUCCCCCAGCACCAGAAGUACUGGUGGAAGGAGUGUGGAAAUAAAUGAUUGGUUUAUUCAGCUGUCAA